UACGAAGGGGGCGAGCGUUGUUCGGAUUUACUGGGCGUAAAGGGCGCGCAGGCGGCUCAUUUUGUCAGGCGUGAAAGCCCCGGGCUUAACCUGGGAACUGCGUUUGAUACGGAUGGGCUAGAGUUCGGGAGAGGAGAGUGGAAUUCCCAGUGUAGAGGUGAAAUUCGUAGAUAUUGGGAAGAACACCAGUGGCGAAGGCGGCUAACUGGUCCAGCACUGACGCUGAGGUGCGAAAGCGUGGGGAGCAAACAGG
RNAcentral lists this ribosomal RNA (253 nucleotides) under uncultured bacterium. Its description in RNAcentral is "partial 16S ribosomal RNA". It matches the Rfam family "Bacterial small subunit ribosomal RNA", at positions 524 to 776 of the family's 1533-position model. The record is from RNAcentral.